RNAcentral lists this microRNA precursor (62 nucleotides) under Bactrocera dorsalis (oriental fruit fly). RNAcentral's name for it is "microRNA bdo-mir-2b precursor (bdo-mir-2b-2)". Its record names the gene bdo-mir-2b-2. It matches the Rfam family "mir-2 microRNA precursor family", at positions 5 to 68 of the family's 72-position model. Rfam says of the family: The miRNAs are transcribed as ~70nt precursors (modelled here) and subsequently processed by the Dicer enzyme to give a ~22nt product. In this case the mature sequence comes from the 3' arm of the precursor. The extents of the hairpin precursors are not generally known and are estimated based on hairpin prediction. The record is from miRBase by way of RNAcentral. Lineage: Eukaryota; Metazoa; Arthropoda; Insecta; Diptera; Tephritidae.
UUCUUCAAAGCGGUUGUGAAAUGUUUCAUUUAAAAUCAUAUCACAGCCAGCUUUGAGGAGCG